CCUACGGGUGGCAGCAGUGAGGAAUAUUGGUCAAUGGGCGUAAGCCUGAACCAGCCAAGUCGCGUGAGGGACGACGGCCCUACGGGUUGUAAACCUCUUUUGCCGGGGGGCAAACGGCGGCACGCGUGCCGUCCUGAGGGUACCCGGAGAAAAAGCAUCGGCUAACUCCGUGCCAGCAGCCGCGGUAAUACGGAGGAUGCGAGCGUUAUCCGGAUUUAUUGGGUUUAAAGGGUGCGUAGGCGGGCUUUUAAGUCAGCGGUAAAAAUUCGGGGCUCAACCCCGUCCGGCCGUUGAAACUGUGGGCCUUGAGUGGGCGAGAAGAAGGCGGAAUGCGUGGUGUAGCGGUGAAAUGCAUAGAUAUCACGCAGAACCCCGAUUGCGAAGGCAGCCUUCCGGCGCCCUACUGACGCUGAGGCACGAAAGUGCGGGGAUCGAACAGGAUUAGAUACCCGGGUAGUC
RNAcentral lists this ribosomal RNA (459 nucleotides) under uncultured bacterium. RNAcentral's name for it is "partial 16S ribosomal RNA". It matches the Rfam family "Bacterial small subunit ribosomal RNA", at positions 338 to 795 of the family's 1533-position model. The record is from RNAcentral.